This is a non-coding RNA of Nicotiana tabacum (common tobacco), 1071 nucleotides long. The record is from RefSeq and is a predicted model, not a curated record. Lineage: Eukaryota; Viridiplantae; Streptophyta; Magnoliopsida; Solanales; Solanaceae.
CUUGAGCUGACUUAGAAUUUCCAAAAGAACUUGUUUGAAAUAAACCCCUUAAGCUUUGGGGCUUUAAUAUGAGCCCAUAUUGAGUAGGAGCGAGGCAAAGCCGAAUUGUUCGUAGCCUGCGGUAAUUCCAGACCUCUUUACUCCCUUAAUCAUGAAACAAAACACAUCCUUGUCAGAACAUGGAUGGACUUCAACUUUUUGAUUACUCAAAGUCUUUUCCAUUGAGAUCCUCAAUUUGAUUCAGAUGGAGUUAUCCCUAUCCUGCGAUUCCCGGCUCUUUUGAGUUUACCUGCUGCUUUCCUACGCCUAUAAAAGGGUAGAUCCAAACUUGUUAAGAUACAUAUUCAGCCCUCUUUGCAUGGUAGCAGUUGACAGACACUGAUAGCCUUGAUCACUUAUGCAGCUGGUUCAAGCCCUUAGGCAUCUACUGAUGUUAAGAUAUCUACUUCACAAUUCUCGCGAGACUUGCCACCUUUAAUAGCAGUGUCGGAGGCGUAACAUCAUUCGUCGCAGCAGCGCCUUGCUUCAUUCUGGUGAGGAUAAAUUUCCUUUCCAAGUACUAGGACCAGAUAUAUUGAAAUUGCAAUCCGUCUUUGGUGUCGUGAAGUAGACUUCCGAGACUACAAUCUACACCAGAACCAGGUGUAAAUUCCCCGUGAAUUUACACAGACACGUCCAAACCAUAAUCCGCUUAUACCGUUGGAAAGAGGACUUCUGGGACUAUAAUAUAUACAAAAAUCAGAUCCAGAUUCUAAGUAUAUUUGUACAGAUACUUGUUUGAACUCAGUACUAGAUUUCUGGUGUUCUGUUUUUUACAGCUCUGCGCGCCCCGACUAAAAAAAUCAUAUUUCUUUGCAGACACGUCAAAAUCACAAUCCGUUUACACCGUUGGAAAGGGAACUUCUGGGAUUACAAUAUAUACAAAAAUCAGAUCCAGAUUCUAAGUAUAUUUGUACAGAUACUUGUUUGAACUCAGUACUAGAUUUCUGGCGUUCAACUUUUUACAGCUCUGCGCGCAGAGGCGGAUCCAUGAUUUGAAGUUUAUGAGUUCCUAUUGUAAUCUCAAAUUAA